UUAUGACCUGGGAUACACACGUAUUACAAUGGCCGGUACAACGGGCUGCGAAACCGCGAGGUGGAGCCAAUCCCAACAAAGCCGGUCUCAGUUCGGAUUGCAGGCUGCAACUCGCCUGCAUGAAGUCGGAAUUGCUAGUAAUCGCGGAUCAGCAUGCCGCGGUGAAUACGUUCCCGGGUCUUGUACACACCGCCCGUCACACCACGAGAGUUUAUAACACCCGAAGUCGGUGGGGUAACCGCAAAGGAGCCAGCCGCC
RNAcentral lists this ribosomal RNA (258 nucleotides) under Paenibacillus panacihumi. RNAcentral's name for it is "partial 16S ribosomal RNA". It matches the Rfam family "Bacterial small subunit ribosomal RNA", at positions 1202 to 1457 of the family's 1533-position model. The record is from RNAcentral. Lineage: Bacteria; Bacillati; Bacillota; Bacilli; Caryophanales; Paenibacillaceae.